UGAUCUUAUAAACCAAAGCAGCGCUUCUGAGGAGUCAGAGUUUCCCGGUCGUAAAAUCUCCAUCCGCCUGCUUAAAAUGGGAGCGUAACGGCCAAGGCAGGAACGAUUACUUCACAUUUAUUUCGGGAUCGGCGGGAACCACUCAUGUGAGCGGCAGAGGUGAGUGGGCAGGUAGGCAGGGGCUUCAUGGGCACCGGGGGCUUCUGUGCUCCCCGUCUAUAUCCUGGCUAGUCUAAACCCCGCAGAUCAUACAUUUUGGCAUAAUUAGGAUUUAUUUAUUCAUGUCAGCAUGUAUAUAAUAGCUACAUUCGAGUGACAAGGCAAGCCUUUUAUUCUUUCAUAUCACAGAUUUUAUUUUCAUUUGGAGCAAGGGUCCAUUCGUUCAUUUCGUCUUGCAAGGGUACCUGUUCAUUGCGAACACUUAUUUCAAAAGACACUGUGCUUGUUUAGAAAGCACAAUUUAAUUUCUCCAAUCUGCAAAGAAUCCCAAAGAAACAAAAAUGAAUAAAAAAAAUGCACAACUGCAACUUUAAGACGAGCCCCCCCUCCGCGGGCGCUGACAAUGGUCUUUACCGGGGUGCGCUUUCCUAGGCACAAAUUGCAACGUGCCAUCUUCUCACCAAUGGGUAUUUUUGGAAAACGAAAUGUCACCGGCGAGCUGGCCAGUUUUAAGUUUUUCGCAAAAAUGCCAGGCGUGGAUUUAACCCCGGUGCCCCCCCCAGAAAGCCCGGCUUGCGUGUCGCGGCGGGUUGCGAGCGAAGCCCUCUAACGCCGAUGGUCCCGGAGUGGGCAGCUGUGUGAUUUCGGAGACUGCGGCUGUCUCACGGUCUUCAUCUACGGUGGGCACGGAUAUAUAAGUAAACUGGCGAGAUGAUGUGCGAGGUGAUGCCCACCAUCAGCGAGGACACGGCGGCCGGCCAGCGCGGCUCCCAGAGCAGUGCCUCGGACCCGGACUCGCACUUCGAGCAGCUGAUGGUCAACAUGCUGGACGAGCGCGACCGGCUGCUGGAUACGCUGCGCGAGACGCAGGAGAGCCUGGGGCUGGCGCAGCAGCACCUGCAGGACGUCAUCUACGACCGCGAUUCGCUGCAGAGGCAGCUGAGCUCCGCCCUGCCUCAGGAGUUUGCUGCCCUGACCAAGGAGCUGAAUGCAUGCAGGGAGCAGCUGCUGGAGAAGGAGGAGGAGAUCUCUGAGCUGAAGGCGGAGAGGAACAACACGCGGCUGCUUCUGGAGCACUUGGAGUGCCUGGUGUCCCGGCACGAGCGGUCGCUGCGCAUGACCGUCGUCAAGCGGCAGGCCCAGUCCCCGUCGGGCGUGUCCAGUGAAGUCGAGGUCCUCAAAGCCCUCAAGUCCUUGUUUGAGCACCACAAGGCCCUAGAUGAAAAGGUCAGGGAACGACUGCGGGGUUCCCUGGAGAGGGUCUCAGCCCUGGAGGAGGAGCUGGCCGCCGCCAACCAGGAGAUUGUAGCCUUAAGGGAGCAGAAUGCCCAUAUCCAGAGGAAGGUAGCUUCCGGGGAAGGAGCAGACGACCUGUUGGAUGGCACGGACACCGGUCUUAAGGUCCAUGGCAAGCGCCUCUCCAAUGGCUCCCUGGAGUCAGCCGACGAGGCCAGCCAGGUGGUGGAGCUGCAGGAGCUGCUGGAGAAGCAGAACUUUGAACUGGCCCAGAUGAAGGAGCGCAUGUCCUCGCUGUCGUCUCGCGUGUCAGAAGUGGAGCAGGAGCUGGAGACAGCCCGCAAGGACCUCAUCAAGUCCGAGGAGAUGAACACCAAGUACCAGAGGGACAUCAAAGAGGCCAUGUGUCAGAAGGAAGACAUGGAGGAGCGCAUUGUGACCCUGGAGAAACGCUACCUGAGCGCCCAGAGAGAGUCCACCUCCCUGCACGACAUCAGCGACAAGCUGGAGAACGAGCUGGCUAACAAGGAGGCCAUCCUCAGACAGAUGGAGGAGAAGAACCGGCAGCUGCAGGAGAGGCUGGAGCUGGCGGAGCAGAAGCUGCAGCAGACCAUGAGGAAGGCGGAGACGCUGCCCGAGGUGGAGGCCGAGCUGGCCCAGAGGAUAGCGGCCCUCACUAAGGCAGAGGAGCGUCACGGGAGCAUCGAGGAGAGCAUGCGGCACCUGGAGUGCCAGCUGGAGGAGAAGAACCAGGAGCUGCAGAGGGCUCGCCAGAGGGAGAAGAUGAACGAGGAGCACAACAAGCGCCUGUCGGACACCGUGGACCGGCUGCUGACGGAAUCCAACGAGCGACUGCAGCUCCACCUUAAGGAGAGAAUGGCGGCCUUGGAGGAGAAGAAUGUUUUAAUACAAGAUUCGGAAAACUACAGAAAACAGCUGGAAGAUUCCCUCCAUGAAAAAUCUCAGCUUGCGGAAGAGAUGGAGAAGCUGAGGUCGGACCUGGAUCAGUUCAGAAUAAGGGCCGGAUCGCUCACGGAACCAACCCUCUCACGGUCUCACCUGGACGCCUCCACCGAGCUCCGGUUCUCCCUGGGCUCCCUGGCGGACACCCAGUCAGACCAUUACAGGUCGACGAAGGUGAUGCGGAGGCCCAGGAGAGGCAGGAUGGGCCUCCGGUGCGAGGAGCAUAGGGCUAAGUCCCUUGGGGAGCAGGAAUGGCGGAGCCAACAGCUGGGGGUCCUAGGCACCCAUCAUUUUGAGAGCGACACGGAGAUAUCAGACAUCGACGACGACGACUCUGACACCAUCUUCAGCUCCAUGGAUCUGCUGUCCCCUGGAGGCCACUCGGAUGCCCAGACACUGGCCAUGAUGCUGCAGGAGCAGCUGGAUGCCAUCAACAAGGAGAUCCGGCUGAUCCAGGAGGAGAAGGAGUCGACGGAGCUGAGAGCAGAGGAAAUCGAGAACCGGGUGGCCAGUGUGAGCCUGGAGGGCCUCAACCUGGCCCGAGUGCACCACCCUGGAGCCUCCAUCACUGCUUCGGCCACGGCCUCCUCACUGGCCAGCUCUUCCCCCCCCAGCGGACACUCCUCCCCUAAGCAGACCCCCCGCAGCCCUGCCCGGGACAUGGAACGCAUGGGUGUCAUGACACUGCCCAGUGAUUUAAGAAAACACAGAAGAAAGAUAGCGGCAGUGGAUGAGGAUGGUCGAGAAGACAAGGCCACCAUCAAGUGCGAAACGUCGCCACCUCCCACGCCCCGCCAAGUCCGAAUGACCCACACGCUGCCCUCCUCCAGCCAUAAUGAUACACGUGGCGUGGGCGCCGCCCUGGAGGUGGAUGCUAGCGCCCUGAGCAGUGUUGCCAGCAGCCAGGACUCCCUCCACAAGCAGCCCAAGAAGAAAGGCAUCAAAUCCUCCAUCGGCCGGCUCUUCGGCAAGAAAGAGAAGGCCCGACUGGGACAGCUGCACAAAGAGCUGGGCGGACUGGGCCAAGUAGGUGCAUCUGAUCCAGAGCUGAGCGGUCAGGAAAUGGCUCCAGGGAAGUUGGGCACCCAGGCUGAGAAGGACAGGAGGCUGAAGAAGAAGCACGAGCUUCUGGAGGAGGCUCGCAGGAAGGGCUUACCCUUUGCCCAGUGGGACGGCCCCACCGUGGUCGCCUGGCUGGAGCUCUGGCUAGGUAUGCCCGCCUGGUACGUGGCAGCCUGCCGUGCCAACGUGAAGAGCGGUGCCAUCAUGUCGGCGCUGUCCGAUACUGAGAUCCAGCGCGAGAUCGGCAUCAGCAACCCACUGCACCGGCUCAAGCUGCGUCUGGCCAUCCAGGAGAUGGUGUCCCUGACCAGCCCCUCAGCACCUCCCACCUCCAGAACUAAAUCAGACUCUGAAGAAGGAAGCUGGGCGCAGACUCUCGCAUAUGGAGACAUGAACCACGAGUGGAUCGGAAACGAGUGGCUGCCCAGCCUGGGGCUCCCUCAGUACCGCAGCUACUUCAUGGAGUGCCUGGUCGACGCCCGCAUGCUGGACCAUCUCACCAAGAAAGACCUCAGGGUGCACCUCAAGAUGGUGGACAGCUUCCACAGGACAAGUCUGCAGUAUGGAAUCAUGUGCUUAAAGAAGCUGAACUAUGACAGGAAAGAGCUGGAGUGGAGGAGAGAACACAGCCAGCAUGAGAUAAGAGACGUGCUGGUGUGGAGCAACGAGCGCGUGAUCCGCUGGGUGCAGAGCGUCGGGCUGCGUGACUACGCCAACAUCCUGCAGGAGAGCGGCGUGCACGGAGCCCUCAUCGCCCUCGACGACAACUUCGACUACAGCAGCCUGGCUCUGCUGCUGCAGAUCCCCAACCAGAGCACGCAGGCACGGCAGAUCCUGGAGAGAGAGUACAACAACCUGCUAGCCUUGGGCACCGAGAGGCGUUUGGAAUGUGAUGACAAGGACUUCCAGCGCAGCGCCCCCUGGAGGAGGCAGUUUCCACCACGGGACGUCCACGGGAUCAGCAUGAUGCCCGGCUCUGCGGAGACGCUGCCGGCCGGUUUCCGGGUCACCACCACCUCUGGACACUCGCGCAGGAUGCCCCCCGAAGUCCUCUAUGAGGUGUUGGACAGCUGUCCUGAGGACAUAUGUGAGGACUGGUUUCAAGGUCAGCUAUACUGGUGGAGUUCACCACGCUACAUGCCCCACCCCAGUUCCCGUUGCCCUCCCCAACUCGUCCGGCUGACCUUUCAGUGUCCCACGUUUCCCGCCCUCUCAGUUUCACAGCAGGAGCAGGAAUGCACACCAGAUGAAGGCUUUGAAACAGGACGUCUGUGUGUGAGCACCUGCCCCCGGUGUGAAAAUACUGCAGUCAUGUCUGUGAUCUUUUAAUUUACGUCCAAUCAACACGUCUAAGGUACACCCCUCAUCAGAACCGGUCCCGGCUGUCCCCAAGUGUCACGUUGUUCACUGGGUAACAGACUCAGUAAUCGUGUGUAUACUUGCACUUUGUGUGCUUUUUACCUCCAGCCACAAGGGGGCGCUUGAGGUGACGUUUCCCUUUGUCUGCAGUGGGCCCGUCGGCGAUGCAGAGGCUGGACAGCUCCACUGUGCGGACUUACUCGUGCUGACAUUCUCACUGGAGGGGGAGAGGCUCAGUAGUUGCUAGCCUUCAUUUUGCCCCCAUUACCUCAGAAGUGGGCAAGGAGACCCUCUGCAGGACCUCAUACAAGGAACAGAGCUCCGACGAGACGCACUGCCAAGAAGCACGACCCCCUCCUUCCCACCCCAGAACCAAGGGCCCAGCAGGGACACGGGGGGGGGGGGGUGCCGGUGGAGGGGGUGCCAAGGCCCAGGAUGGCCCCUCUGCACUUGCAAGCCAAGUCCUUAAUCUGGCCACCAGACCGGGUGCUAACCAAUGUCCCGCAGCCUCUUUUUCUUGCUAUUUAUACCUUGUAACAUAACUAGUUAAGAUGUGUAUUUCUUCUAAUGGAAAUCGUUGAAGUUAUCUGUAAAUGAGUAUAAAUACUGCUUUUUAUAAGCGCGUGCAUCACAGAGGCAACUUUGUGCCGAACACGUCCCCUGAAUGUCAGUCCCGCAGGUGAAGGAUGCUGCUGUGACUUCUAUUUCCCAUCCUUACAGCUAUUUCGUACGUCGGAUUUUCCUUCGUCCCCAAAGCUUAGCGGCAGUAGCAGCCCGAAGGAGGACCUCACGCUUAAAAGCAUUACUUUUCGCUCCCUACCUUGGUCUUUUUUCUGAUCGACGCCAUUUUUACCUUCAGCUGUGAACGCAUAUCGCCCCCUGGUGGUGUACAGCCACGUACUUGUGUGUCGCCGACGGGAGGUGGGGGAAGCCAGGGGCAGGGAGGAGCGCACUGUGACAGCGAGCCGCUGUGACGAGCACUUUGAGAGAAACCGCACGCUGACCUCUGCAUAACAAGGAGCUGAUUACUCCUUCCCCCCUGACGUGUGCAACCGAACCGUCGGUUUAGCAGCUGCGCCAGAAGUCAGACUGGCGCCGCUGUGCUGGACCCUCAGUCUAUACGGCCUUUUCCCGUCCCGUGGACUUUAACCCCAGUCACUUUAUAAGGAAGAACGGCCGAGAGACAGGCCGCUGAACUUGUAUGUGGUAAAUAUGAACGUGUCAAACGCCAGAGGAACUCAGCUCAAUGUGUUGCUUGCUUUGACUAUUUAGUGUAGCUGUUGACAUUGUGCGAGUGCCAGGGGUGAUCUCUCUUCUUCUUCCAUUCCUCUUUCUUUUCCGUUUACUCUUAGCUCAAGAUUGAUUUUAUUCCUGCCCCUCCCCACCCCCCCCCACCCCCCCCACAUAUGACU
Brienomyrus brachyistius is the source of this 6191-nucleotide RNA transcript. It is a transcript of the gene named PTPRF interacting protein alpha 2, with no coding region annotated. The transcript has 30 exons. NCBI's taxonomy places the organism in Eukaryota, Metazoa, Chordata, Actinopteri, Osteoglossiformes, Mormyridae. The record is from RefSeq and is a predicted model, not a curated record.